UGUUUUAGUAGCUUAUAAAGAGUAUAAUAUUGAAGAUAUUAGGGAAGUUUUUAACUUUAAAAUAU
This 65-nucleotide transfer RNA is filed under the name Calochromus sp. UPOL MT0004. RNAcentral describes it as "tRNA-Phe". Lineage: Eukaryota; Metazoa; Arthropoda; Insecta; Coleoptera; Lycidae. RNAcentral also lists the same sequence under 1 other name. The record is from RNAcentral.